Molecule: ribosomal RNA, 253 nt
Filed under: uncultured bacterium
Lineage: Bacteria
Description: partial 16S ribosomal RNA
Rfam family: Bacterial small subunit ribosomal RNA
Source: RNAcentral
UACGGAGGGUGCAAGCGUUGUUCGGAAUUACUGGGCGUAAAGCGCGUGUAGGCGGAUAUGGAAGUCAGAUGUGAAAGCCCUCGGCUCAACCGGGGAACUGCAUCUGAAACCACGUAUCUUGAGUAUGUCAGAGGAGAGUGGAAUUCCCAGUGUAGAGGUGAAAUUAAUAGAUAUUGGGAAGAACACCGGUGGCGAAGGCGGCUCUCUGGGACAAUACUGACGCUGAGACGCGAAAGCGUGGGGAGCAAACAGG